UCAGUUCAGAUUGUAGGCUGCAACUCGCCUACAUGAAGUCGGAAUUGCUAGUAAUCGCGGAUCAGCAUGCCGCGGUGAAUACGUUCCCGGGCCUUGUACACACCGCCCGUCACACCAUGAGAGCCGGUAACACCCGAAGUCAGUAGCCUAACCGCAAGGGGGGCGCUGCCGAAGGUGGGAUUGGUAAUUGGGGUGAAGUCGUAACAAGGUAUC
RNAcentral lists this ribosomal RNA (213 nucleotides) under uncultured bacterium. RNAcentral describes it as "partial 16S ribosomal RNA". It matches the Rfam family "Bacterial small subunit ribosomal RNA", at positions 1288 to 1500 of the family's 1533-position model. The record is from RNAcentral.